CAGUCGCCGCGGUAAUACGAAGGGUGCAAGCGUUAAUCGGAAUUACUGGGCGUAAAGCGCGCGUAGGUGGUUCAUUAAGUUGGAUGUGAAAGCCCUGGGCUCAACCUGGGAACUGCAUCCAAAACCGGUGAGCUAGAGUACGGUAGAGGGUAGUGGAAUUUCCUGUGUAGCGGUGAAAUGCGUAGAUAUAGGAAGGAACACCAGUGGCGAAGGCGACUACCUGGACUGAUACUGACACUGAGGUGCGAAAGCGUGGGGAGCAAACAGGAUUAGAUACCCCGGUAGUCCCUGUCUCUUAUAC
RNAcentral lists this ribosomal RNA (301 nucleotides) under uncultured bacterium. RNAcentral's name for it is "partial 16S ribosomal RNA". It matches the Rfam family "Bacterial small subunit ribosomal RNA", at positions 509 to 807 of the family's 1533-position model. The record is from RNAcentral.